Molecule: long non-coding RNA, 199 nt
Filed under: Elaeis guineensis (African oil palm)
Lineage: Eukaryota; Viridiplantae; Streptophyta; Magnoliopsida; Arecales; Arecaceae
Description: long non-coding RNA (EGUI_LNC047291)
Source: RNAcentral
CUGGAUUUUGGAAUUCCGACGAUGCUCUCUCCAACCGCAUCGAUGCCUGCGGCUGUUGUUGCUAUUGCAUAGCCUGCACCGCUUCAGUGAGGCCCCUGACCUACUGAACCAGUAGGUCGAAUUGCUCCACUCUGAUCACCACUGCCGGAGGAGGAGGAGGAGGGGCCUCGGAAACUGGAGGUAAGGCCGGAGCCUGAGA